Octodon degus (degu) is the source of this 2009-nucleotide RNA transcript. It is a transcript of the gene named succinate--CoA ligase [GDP-forming] subunit beta, mitochondrial pseudogene, with no coding region annotated. The transcript has a single exon. Lineage: Eukaryota; Metazoa; Chordata; Mammalia; Rodentia; Octodontidae. The annotation marks the transcript as partial. The record is from RefSeq and is a predicted model, not a curated record.
CCUGUGAGACCUGGUGCUCUGGCCCCGGGUCUCAGGCGGUUCAGUGCACCUCCAGAAGAUGGCUCAACCUACAGCAGUACCAGAGCAAGAAACUGAUGUCUGACAGUGGAGUGAGAGUUCAAAGAUUCUUUGUAGCAAGCACUGCCAAUGAAGCUCUGGAGGCUGCUAAGAGACUAAAUGCCAAAGAGAUUGUUUUGAAAGCUCAGAUCUUAGCUGGAGGAAGAGGAAAAGGUGUCUUCAAUAGUGGCCUGAAAGGAGGUGUUCAUUUAACAAAAGACCCCAAAGUUGUGAAACAGCUGGCUAAACAGAUGAUUGGGUAUAAUAAAGCAACAAAACAAACUCCCAAAGAAAGUGUGAAAGUUAACAAGGUGAUGAUUGCUGAAGCCCUGAACAUUUCCAGAGAAACCUACUUAGUGAUUCUGAUAAACCGGGCCUACAAUGGCCCUGUGCUGGUGGGUAGCCCCCAGGGUGGCAUUGACAUUGAAGAAGUGGCCACUUCCAAUCCAGAACUUAUUUUUGAGGAGCCAAUUGACAUUUUUGAAGGCAUAAAGGUCAGCCAAGCUCAGCGGAUGGCAGAAAAUCUGGGCUUCCUUGGGACUUUGAAAAACCAGGCUGCAGAUCAAAUUAAGAAGCUGUAUAAUCUCUUCCUGAAAAUUGAUGCCACUCAGGUAGAAGUGAAUCCCUUUGGUGAGACUCCGGAAGGCCAAGCUGUCUGUUUUGAUGCCAAGAUAAACUUUGAUGACAAUGCUGAAUUCCAACAACAGGAGAUAUUUGCUAUGGAUGACAAAUCAGAGAAUGAGCCCAUUGAAAAUGAAGCUGCCAGAUAUGAUCUAAAAUACAUAGGACUGGAUGGGAAUAUUGCCUGCUUUGUGAAUGGUGCGGGACUAGCCAUGGCUACUUGUGAUAUCAUUUUCCUCAGUGGUGGGAAGCCAGCCAACUUCUUGGACCUGGGAGGCGGUGUAAAGGAAUCUCAAGUGUAUCAAGCUUUCAGAUUGCUCAUAUCCGUUCCUAAGGUUGAAGUCAUCUUAGUCAAUACUUUUGGCGGUAUUGUCAACUGUGGCGUCAUAGCCAAUGGAAUCACCAAAGCCUGCUGGGAACUGGGACUGAAGGUGCCCCUGCUGGUCCACCUUGAAGGAAUGAAUGUCCAAGAGGCUCAGAACAUACUCAGAAACAGCGGGCUUCCCAUCACCUUGGCUAUGGACCUGGAGGACACAGCCAAGAAGGCUGUGGCCAGUGUGAGAAAGAAGUGAUGUCUCCUUGGAGCCAUUUUCCCAAUGACUCCUUCGUUGUGAAGAGGAAGAAGAGGGUUGGGGCGGGAGACAAAACAGUUCGCUCACUGGGAGAAAAUGGGGAAGUAUGAAUAAGAAUCACUGUGAAAAAUCUGAGAUCUGUGUCCUCUUAGAUAAAUUACCCAGACAUCCUAGUCUGAUUUUAUAUAUGUAGUAACUCUAAAAAUAAUGUCCUCUAUUUGCAAGCACUUGCCCACUUUGGGGAACAGUCUCUGGCCCAAUUAUGUGCAUAUAUACACAAAUUUAAUUAAGGCACACCUUGGCUCAUUGAGAAGAAUAUUGAUGAAUAGUUACCUUAUGGUAGAAAAAAAAACAUGAGCCAUAAAAACCUCAAAUAGGAUUCCAUUUAACAUUUUAACUGGCACAAGGGCAGACCUAAGACAUUGAAGCAAAUAGUUAUUACACACUAUAGCAGUUUUUGUAAGUUUCUAAUUACAACACAUCUUUAGAAAAAGUUAGGAAUAUCCUAAACACAUUUUACAGUGGAAGUUCUACAUUAAUAUGCCAUACAUGUAUUUUACCAUUUGCCUUAAUAUUGAAUCUUGUUUACUUUAUGCUAAAAGUACAGCCAAAAGCCUUAUUUGUGAUUUUGUAGUAGAAGGUUUCAUUUUAAUUUCACUACUAAUGAAUGCUGAUUCUUAGGGACAUCUCUGUAAUUAAGUCAUGUCAUAAUGAAACGACUCUGAAGAUGGAAUUAUAUUGAGAGCAUCCUUUCUCCUU